AAGUUUGAGCCCUUUCCUCCUUGGCAGGGGGUGAUGGAAGAAGCAUGGGUCUUGGACUUAGAUGGACCUGCUUUAGAAGCCUGGUCUUCCUGCUCAGUGCUGUGUGGCCUUGGGCAGAAUUGCUUAACUCUUCUGAGCUUAAGUUUCCUCAUCUGUGGGUAGACACUGAUGACACUUCCCUGGCAUGAAUGUUGUGAGAAUUCGUGAUAUACAUAUCGGACACUGGCACAGGGUAGGAGGAACUUGACUGAUUUCACUGUUAUCACUUCCUUAAAGGUACAGCCCCUUUUCCACCAAUCAGAAAAGCUGACCCUGAUGUGGCAUCCUCAGUGGAUCUCGCCUUUUCCCCUAACACUGGUGCCUCUCCCUGCCCGUUCCUGUGUCAUUCCUUGAGCAAUGACAACUCAUAGGCUGACGAGUGUCAUCUCUUAUCCCUGCCUUUCUCUAACUAGACUCCCAUCAGAGCUGAGACUGGCCUUUAUACAAACUCUCUGUAACCUAUCUUAACCUAUCCUAACCAGGGACCCGCAAGAGUCACUGCCCGGCAAAUGACUGUUAACAGAGACUAAUUGGAGCCAUUUCACAAGUUUUUAUGGAAACUAUUCACCCAGUGUUGGCAAUGGGCCAGGCUCUGGGAACAGUGAGGUGAUUAAAACCCAGCCCCCACUACAGGAGCUCCUACUCUGGCUACAAGUUUCUGCAAAGGCCUGGAGCAGUUCAUGUUCCUUUCCAGGCAUCUAGCUCCCAGGGGCUGGCUUCCUUUGUUGAGACUGUCUGCUUCCCUGGGUCUACAGGCAAAGGCCAAGUCCACGGCCCAGAGCCAUGUCGCCCUGGAGAGUACACAGCUGGCAUUCAGUGCCCAAGGCCGGGAGGUCAUUCAGGCCCUCACAAGCUGUUUCUACCACUUGCUCCUUGAGACAAGCCCAGCAGCCCCUGCUCUCACAGGGGGAAGAGACGGUGAGUGCAGGAGCUGGCCCAUGCUGUCCUCACCACGAGGGGACAGCGCAGGACUGCGGGUAGCAGAGAACUCGGUCAGGGACAGGUCCCUCCUGACUCAUUCCAGCAGCGCAGUAUCUGAAUGAUUUGUUCUUGGGUGGAGUGGAUGAAAGGGGGAGGAUGGGUCGGAAAAAAUGAAACCAUCUGUUGAAUUCACAAGUUGCCACAAGUCAUGAGUUCAACCAAUGUUCAAAUGACUAAGUAUUUUUAGAGCAGAAAAAUAAGGUAAUUUGAGGGUUUCAGAAAGCAAGCACUGCCUGCAAACCCAAAUGAUAACUGAAGAAAUUCUCUACAUUAGCAAAAGUUUUACUCUUUCAUUUGCAGAAACAGCAUGACUUUUUUUUUUUUUUCCCCAGGAAAAGGAAGGCUUUCAGAAUUUAAGAGAAACAGAGUUUACCAACUCAGCCCUCUCUGAAACAGAAUAAAGAACCUUUCCUCUUAUCUGGGUUCAGAACUGGCAAGCAACCUUGGCGUGGGCACUUCAUAAAUAUUCAUGAAUAAUGCAAAUGCGAAGAUGCAAAGAGACCAUUUUGCCAUUUCCAGAAUCCUUCUGAAGUGCCUGUGAUUGAAGCAGGAUCUCCACUAUACUUUGCAGAUCUUGCACAAGAAAAAGCCCAGUUUGGCUGGUCACAUGGAAAGAAACAGAACAAGAGCAGUGGAUUAAUCUGUCCUGGAGUCUUGGGUGGUGACUGUACUUACAGGGAGCAGAGCAAACUGAAGUAGUGGUCCGUUGCCCCACAGCUGCCCAGACCUCUGUGGCAGACAGACAAAUGAGGCCACAGGGCCUGGCACAGUCAUGACUUGGCCUUCCUGUGGGGUGGAGGAAGAGGACAGGAAACUGGGACAAAGGCCAACGAUGAGUGCAGGCACACACAUAUGCAUAGCUGAGUGAUGUGAUCACUCCAUCUGUAAAUCCAACCAACAGGAAGAUCAGAUGCACCCACCUCACAUGCCGAGGGACUCCCUUCAGGCCCAAAGCAGAAAAGGACCCAGACGUGUCCUGGGUCAGUGUUUCUCCCCACCACCAGGCAGACUGUUCUCAUUGUGAGUUUUCAGAGUCCAGAGUGCUAACCAUUACGCAGUGGCACCUCCUUCUUCCUUCUCAAUCAGCAGGCCUAGGUCGUCCAACUCCAAGAAUGCCCGGGACGACCAGAAUGUCCUGGGAGAAGGGGUGCGGUGUGAAGCCAGAUUACCUGGGUGCAGGCUGUUCCCCUCUCUCCUGCAUGUGACCUCUGGAACGGAAAGCUGCUCAUCUGGAAAGAGGGACAGCUGCUGUGGUAGCAGUCGGUGAGAGCGUGUGCCUCAGAAGCAGGAGGCCUCUCCUAAAGCGUCAACAACACAGCAGUGACUGGUCACUUGUCAUGAACUUAAAUAAGCAGGAACUCUAAUUUCUCUCCAGGCCAAAACCUUGGGGGAUUUGUAAAGGUCUUAAAGGCUGAAGAGCAGUUCAGUGCUUUUGGUUUCUCACCUGUUCCUCCAUCCUGUCCCCAUCCUCUUGGGGGAAAGACGGGGCCCUUUGGGGGAAGCCUUAGCAAGUGACAAACAUCAGGCCUCAGCCAGGCUCCCUGCAGGCUCAGAGGAGCAGCCCGGGCGGGCAAGGGCGGCUGGGACACACUUCCCACCUGGGCCCAGGCUGCAUUAUACACUUCUCCUUUUGUGGGCCACUUCCUCCGUUAAAAUAUAUAAAUUUAAAAUUAUAUUUAAAAAUAAAAUUAUAUUUUAUGACUGCAUUGGUAUAAAAAUAGGUAUAAUCCAGGCUAAGUUCAUUAUUACAUAUUCAUGUGAUUUUUCUUGUGGUGGUAAUUGAAAUGAAAUGUAAGAGAAAUGAAUUACGGGGAGAGGUUUGGCCGCUCGGGGGCAGCACCAGCUCACUAGAUGCUCUCGGGAAAUCUGGGCGGUAGGUAGAUGGUGGGGAAAGACUGAGCCAGGACUCCUACCGCUGACUCACAAAAGGCUUGUGCUUCUCCCAGCGUUUCCUCGGAGAGGGCUGUGUUUGCGCCUCGCAUCAGCCCCACCCCGCCCCCAUCAGGCGGGCGGGCAGCGGACGAGAGGACAGGCUCACGCCGGGAGGAACAGGGUCCUGUAGGUCGGGGUCACCCAGGCAGAGGCGGGCCGACCAGACUGUCCUGGCUCUUCCUGCGGUGCUUCUCCCUCAGAGCCUCAGCCGAGCUGGAUCCUCCGAGCAGACCAGGGCAGGACCGGGCGGCCCGACCUACCCUUGACCAUGUGGGCAAUGCCGCGCAGCCCUUCCACAUCCUGGCAGAGGCCACCCCGCAUUCCAGGCCGGCCCACCCCCAGCCUCCCUGGGGCCGGGCAUGCCUUUGUUCACUCCGUCUGCGUGGCCCACCGCAGGCUGAGCCUGUAGGUGGAAGACACAUACAUCCCCUCCCUCCCUGGAGAACUGAGCGAUGUCAGAGGCACACGGGAGGCAUUCCCUGUGCGGAGGGUGAGGAGGCAGGCGCUCCGUCUGCGUGCAGUGCCUGGGCAAGGGGAGCAGCGUGGGAGGAAAGACCAGAAGAAAACAGCACAGAGCACCACCCGAUCCAUCGCGGAGGCGGCUUUCCUGCCUCCCAAGGGGACACCCCGCACGCUGCCUGGUGGCCUGCAGUGCACCCAGGAACAUCGGCCUCUCUCCCCUCAGCUCACCAGGGGGAAGGGCGCCUCAUGAGGAGACGGAGUCUGGGCGGGGCCUUAUGGGUCGCGAGUCCACACAGUGUCCCCCAGAAGUGAUGAGAAUGGUGCACAAGCCCGUGUGAGAAAUGAAAGGCAGGUUGUCCCUUUGCUGGAUGAGCAGAAAAAGAUUGUGCAUUUUUCAAGGGGAAUCGUGAGAUGCCAGUUGACUCUGACAUGGAUGUGGCAGAAAGCCACCCUGGUGGUUGGUACUUUCUGAGAGCAGCCUUGUGGUUCAAAGGAGCCAAGAGGGUUCUGGGAGCAAGUAGCUGUUGGCCAAGUGUGGCCAGGCCUGAGGCCAAGUCAUGGCAUUACACAGAGGCCUGGAC
Molecule: long non-coding RNA, 3995 nt
Organism: Myotis daubentonii (Daubenton's bat)
Lineage: Eukaryota; Metazoa; Chordata; Mammalia; Chiroptera; Vespertilionidae
Source: RefSeq, a predicted model, not a curated record